RNAcentral lists this ribosomal RNA (865 nucleotides) under Escherichia coli. Its description in RNAcentral is "partial 23S ribosomal RNA". It matches the Rfam family "Bacterial large subunit ribosomal RNA", at positions 375 to 1245 of the family's 2925-position model. Lineage: Bacteria; Pseudomonadati; Pseudomonadota; Gammaproteobacteria; Enterobacterales; Enterobacteriaceae. The record is from RNAcentral.
GUACACAAAAAUGCACAUAUUGUGAGCUCGAUGAGUAGGGCGGGACACGUGGUAUCCUGUCUGAAUAUGGGGGGACCAUCCUCCAAGGCUAAAUACUCCUGACUGACCGAUAGUGAACCAGUACCGUGAGGGAAAGGCGAAAAGAACCCCGGCGAGGGGAGUGAAAAAGAACCUGAAACCGUGUACGUACAAGCAGUGGGAGCCUCUUUAUGGGGUGACUGCGUACCUUUUGUAUAAUGGGUCAGCGACUUAUAUUCUGUAGCAAGGUUAACCGAAUAGGGGAGCCGAAGGGAAACCGAGUCUUAACUGGGCGUUAAGUUGCAGGGUAUAGACCCGAAACCCGGUGAUCUAGCCAUGGGCAGGUUGAAGGUUGGGUAACACUAACUGGAGGACCGAACCGACUAAUGUUGAAAAAUUAGCGGAUGACUUGUGGCUGGGGGUGAAAGGCCAAUCAAACCGGGAGAUAGCUGGUUCUCCCCGAAAGCUAUUUAGGUAGCGCCUCGUGAAUUCAUCUCCGGGGGUAGAGCACUGUUUCGGCAAGGGGGUCAUCCCGACUUACCAACCCGAUGCAAACUGCGAAUACCGGAGAAUGUUAUCACGGGAGACACACGGCGGGUGCUAACGUCCGUCGUGAAGAGGGAAACAACCCAGACCGCCAGCUAAGGUCCCAAAGUCAUGGUUAAGUGGGAAACGAUGUGGGAAGGCCCAGACAGCCAGGAUGUUGGCUUAGAAGCAGCCAUCAUUUAAAGAAAGCGUAAUAGCUCACUGGUCGAGUCGGCCUGCGCGGAAGAUGUAACGGGGCUAAACCAUGCACCGAAGCUGCGGCAGCGACACUAUGUGUUGUUGGGUAGGGGAGCGUUCUGUA